RNAcentral lists this ribosomal RNA (990 nucleotides) under uncultured organism. RNAcentral's name for it is "bacterial SSU rRNA". It matches the Rfam family "Bacterial small subunit ribosomal RNA", at positions 502 to 1495 of the family's 1533-position model. The record is from RNAcentral.
UACGUGCCAGCAGCCGCGGUUAUACGUAGGUGGCAAGCGUUGUCCGGAAUUACCUGGGUGUAAAGGGCGUGUAGGCGGGGAUGCAAGUCAGGUGUGAAAGCCCAUGGCUCAACUGUGGGACUGCAUCUGAAACUGAAUCUCUUGAGUACUGGAGAGGGAAGUGGAAUUCCUAGUGUAGCGGUGAAAUGCGUAGAGAUUAGGAGGAACACCAGUGGCGAAGGCGGCUUCCUGGACAGUAACUGACGCUGAGGCGCGAAAGCGUGGGGAGCGAACAGGAUUAGAUACCCUGGUAGUCCACGCCGUAAACGAUGGAUACUAGGUGUAGGAGGUAUCGACCCCUUCUGUGCCGGAGUUAACACAUUAAGUAUCCCACCUGGGGAAUACGACCGCAAGGUUGAAACUCAAAGGAAUUGACGGGGGCCCGCACAAGCAGUGGAGUAUGUGGUUUAAUUCGAAGCAACGCGAAGAACCUUACCAGGGCUUGACAUCCCUUGACAGCUCUAGAGAUAGAGUUUCCCUUCGGGGCAAGGAGACAGGUGGUGCAUGGUUGUCGUCAGCUCGUGUCGUGAGAUGUUGGGUUAAGUCCCGUAACGAGCGCAACCCUUAUUGUUAGUUGCCAGCAAGUAAAGUUGGGCACUCUAACGAGACUGCCGGUGAUAAAUCGGAGGAAGGUGGGGAUGACGUCAAAUCAUCAUGCCCCUUAUGUCCUGGGCUACACACGUACUACAAUGGCUGGUACAGAGGGGAGCUAAGCCGCGAGGUGGAGCCAAUCCCCAAAACCAGUCCCAGUUCGGAUUGCAGGCUGCAAUUCGCCUGCAUGAAGUGGGAAUUGCUAGUAAUGGCAGGUCAGCAUACUGCCGUGAAUACGUUCCCGGGCCUUGUACACACCGCCCGUCACACCAUGAGAGUUUGCAACACCCGAAGUCAGUAGUCUAACUUAUGAGACACUGCCGAAGGUGGGGCGUAUGAUUAGGGUGAAGUCGUAACAAG